RNAcentral lists this long non-coding RNA (4170 nucleotides) under Gossypium raimondii (Peruvian cotton). RNAcentral's name for it is "long non-coding RNA (GRAI_LNC002343)". The record is from RNAcentral. Lineage: Eukaryota; Viridiplantae; Streptophyta; Magnoliopsida; Malvales; Malvaceae.
AAAUUCCAAUAGGGGAAAUUCAAUGGGAAUGUUGUAUUUUUGCUCUCAGGAGGGAUGUGCAUCGAUUAUUAGCAACCGAUCGUCAAACCUGAGGAUUAACCAUUGUAAGCAUAUAAGGGUAAAAAAGAAAUCUGGGGGAUAAUUUUGAUUUCCCCAUAAAAUGGUCUCUUCCAAGUAUUGAUAUUUGUGUACAACAUCAACCUUUUGACCGUAGUCUUGCAGUUGCUCAAUACGAAAGGUUGUGUAGGGGUCGCGUCUUGACGGUGGAUAGCAGGCAAUUGAUGUUAGAAACGGGGCAAACCCAGAUAAUGUGUUACCCUCGAAGCUCACAUGGCCCCAUGGUGCUAUUAAUGAUUUGGGGUUGAUUCUGUUAGGAGAAAAUGAGUCUCCUUUUUCUUUUCUUUUUUUGUAUUCUUAUUAUAAGUUGCGACCUCGCAAAUGGUCUUCUCUAUCUAUCAGUGAUCAGGAAGUUUCUGUGAGCUCUAACGUGAUUACAAAUGAUCUUCCCUAUCUAUUGAGGAAUACAUUCUUUCCACUUCCUCAUUACUUCAUUGGGAGAAAAAGGGUAACUUUCCACAUUAAGGCUUAGUUUGGAUGGGCGGUGUGUUUAGCUCCGGUGAGAUUAAAAACAGCGGUGGCGGUGAGAUUAGUUACUGUAGCGGUGAGAUUGGAUACUGUAGCAGUGAGAUUAGAAACAGCGGUGGAGUGUGUGUUUGGAUUCAAACGCAGCUGUAGCGGUGAGGUAAAAAUAGAAAAUGACUUUUAAGGGCAUUUGAUUAAAAAUGAUAUAUAAUAGAAGUUUUUAAAAUUAUUUAACAAUUACAAAAUUAAUAAAUGAUUAAAAAUUAUUACAAUUAUAUUUAUUUUUAAUAAUAAAUAAUUAAAAAUGAAUUAAAACUAGAGAAAAAUUCAAAAAUUUAUUUUAUUUAAUAUUUCAAAAUUAAUCAUAUAUUUAAUUAUAGAGGCUCAAUUCAUUAUUGAAAGAUUAUUGAAAUUAUUGAGCCUUUAGAAAAAUAAAACAUUAUUGAAAGAUAAAAUAAUAAAGUAACACUAGAAUAAGGGUCUUAAUGCAUGUUAUUUCAAAUGUUUGUCAUUAGUAACUCAAUGCAAGACAUUGCUAGCACCAAAUAACUUUAAAACUAAAAUCAACCGUCGGCUAGUAACUGAAAUAGCCUAUGGCCACCAUGUAGAACGUGCAAUGUCGAGCCUUGAACUGGUCAUCAAUGCUAAAGGGAAGAGUUAAAAAUCACAUCUGUUGGUGUUUUGACAGCAGAGGAAGAAAACAGAAGCAAGUAACCCGGAUGAUGUAAAGAUUAACUUCAUUACUUGAAUAAGCAAUAUGCCAUAUACAUAAGUAGUCCGGAUUACAUGUGUUGGUUUUUUUAGCAGAAAACUAAGGAGAAAAAGAAAAACGAAUGCAAAGAAGUUUGAACAAUAAGAAAACUGAAUUUGAUUUCCAAAAUUCAGAUCUUUUUCAUUGACUUGAGAAGCAUUUAUGUUACAAUGAAAUAUGGCACCUAACUAAUGUAUAACUGCUCCCACUAAUACAUGACUAAAGCCUAGAUAGAAUUACAAACAAAAUGUAGCUGACAUACCAGCUAUAACAUCAAACAUAAAUCUAACCCUAUCGAAAUGUAUUAUUACAAGAGAUAGAUGUCUAAGGUGUCAUGCUACUAAAGACAUCUAAAAUUGAACGUCCAAGUAAAGAAGCACAAAUCUAUGAAUGUUUAUUUAGGUACAAAAAAAAUCCUGAAAAAUGCAGGCACAAAAGAUGAAAAGAUAUUAUCUUUGCAUAUUGCAUGCCAAACUAGUCUAAAACCUUCCGUCCAAAAAUACCAAACCUUUUAAGGAAGCAGUUUUCAACUGAUCUUAACUAUGGAAAUCGAGUCGUAGCAAAGUAAGGUCAUAAUAAAUGGUGGAUAACAUGAAAGCAAAAAUAACCAUGAAGAAAUAAAUUUAUCAAGUGAACCUCUUCAAUUGCCGAGGUAUGUUCCUCUAGGCGCAAAUCAUGUACAUUUGGAAGAGCACUAGCUGCACAUUUUCUAACAUAGACAGAUGGAUCUCUAGCACACUUGCCCACAGCCACCAGAACAAGAGGUUCAAUAACAUGAAGACGAAUUCCAGCCAUGGUGCGAAGUGCCCAUGCUCUCACCAAGGGAUUAGGGUCCCCCAAAUCCUUCUGGAAACAAUUAAUUGACAACAAUGCUUCGUUGGGACGCCUACAAAAUUAAACACAGAAACAUUAACAAUAAGUUCAAUCUACCUGCUUAAAUACAAGAAAUACAAUCCAGGUCACUCAUCACCUCUCCUUUGAGCCACUAUUAUUUUAAACUAAUGAGUUUCCACCAUCUCAAGCACUGCUUUUAUUAAGAAAAAUAACAGUUCUUCAAAAUGAAUUGUAAUUAAAUAAACUUGAAAAGUACUUAAAAACCAUGAUCUAAUAACUACUCUUAUAUAAUAACUAGUUAAACUUGAUACCGUUUCUAUCCGGUGCAAUUAGAGAUAGAUUUCAAGCAAGCAUGUUCUUUGUUCAUACUAAUAAUUCUCUCAUUUACUAAUAUUGCUUCUUAACAUAUGGAAGCAACCAUAGGAAAAUAAAAAGAAUAUUGUAAGAGAAGUUUGCGAAACAUACUAUUCAGCAUAAUGCAGUAGAUACAAAUAAACAAGUUUAUUUACUUCCAAAGAUUGAGAUGCCACGUUUUUAACAACCUGUAAUUCAAGCAACCAGAGAGAUGAAAAACAUAUAUACACCUCAAUUAACAAACAAAUAUAAGAUUUAAAAGUAUCCAUUACCAAACCCUGAUUUCAUAUCAUGAAUGCAAUUAUGAACAGCUAUUUGUAUUUUAUCCACAGUCCUAGACCCGAUUCAACCAUUUCUUCACUAAUCAGAGUGCAGCUAUCAAUAAAGAUCCAAUGAAUUAUAACUACAACACUCAAUAGCUUAAUUUUCUUUCUCAAUUAUCCUGUGAUAAGUUCACUACACCUAUUAAACAAUGAUAUUUAAACUUUUAGACACUUAAAUUUAUUUACACUUUCCAGAAACCUUAUCAGCAGUCAAAACGGUGCUCUGAAUGAAAUUACAAAAUCCAGGUCACUUCAAUAUUAAAUUUUAAGUAAUUUUUUCAGAGUUCAUUCAAUAAAAAGAAAUCAAAAAUGAAAAACAAAUUACCUGAGGGAAGUAAUUGGAGACGUCGAAGCCUUGAGCGAUGAGAGUGAGAAGUCGCUUAAGAGCCUCACACUUCUCCUAAUCGAAUUUACUAUCUAAAAGCGAAGCAAUGCUGACAUCAUCCGAAUUGUCGUAGGGGUGAGCAUCAAUUCCGAUCCAGAACACCAUCGUCGACGCCUUGCUCAACGUCUCUGCCGUCGCUCCGAACUGUGGAAACAUUUUCGAUUAGUUUUUCCUUUUCUUCUUUACACAAAUUAAGAAUUCAUCAAAAUUGAAAUUGAAAAUUUAAUUUCAAGGGGGAAAUUGAGAAGACUUUGUGAUCUCUUGAUGUACUAAUGGAAGCAUUCAUGGUAGAUUUGCCUGAGAAAGAGAGGAAACAAAACAGAAUAUGCUGAGAAAAGAAGAUGAAGAACGGAAGAAGAAAAAGGAAUGAAGAACGGAAGAAGGAGAAGGAGCCUUACCUGGAUGAAAGAGGAAUCGGAAGAAGUCCUUGACCAAACUGAUUUGCAACCCAAGGGGAAGGCGAAAGGGAAGGGGAAGGGGAAAGGGGAGAAGAAGGUAACCGACAUCAGAAAAGCCUGAAGAAUGCAACUGAAGAACAUAUGGGUAAAAGAAGAAAACAAAAAGCAAUUGAAGUUGCUAAAUUUUUACUGGAACAAAAGGCUCCAGUCUGGAAUUGAGACUCCAAUGAGAUGAAAUGCAUUUUCAACGCACUGAAGAAAGCUUUCCAAACACCCUUGCGUUUACUAACAUUUCAGCUGCAAUUUUUUUUAGCCUUAAAAAACCAACGUACUGAGAUGCAGUUGCAUCCAAAGGAAGCCUAAGCUGAUCACGCCAAACAAUAAAGGUCUUCACUUCGCCAGCAGAGGACUUAAAUUUUGACGAACCACCAUGAGCAAUACGUUACACACUGCGAACUGAACUGAAGAUGGACCUAGCAACUAGUUGCCCCUGCAAGGAACUUUGCACAGGGACAGAGGGAACAAGAGGGCGCCCGAUUUCUU